Molecule: ribosomal RNA, 559 nt
Filed under: Curvularia hawaiiensis
Lineage: Eukaryota; Fungi; Ascomycota; Dothideomycetes; Pleosporales; Pleosporaceae
Description: eukaryotic LSU rRNA
Rfam family: 5.8S ribosomal RNA (bases 181-334)
Source: RNAcentral
CCUGCGGAGGGAUCAUUACACAAUAAAAUACGAAGGCCGUUCGCGGCUGGACUAUUUAUUACCCUUGUCUUUUGCGCACUUGUUGUUUCCUGGGCGGGUUCGCUCGCCACCAGGACCACAAUAUAAACCUUUUUUAUGCAGUUGCAAUCAGCGUCAGUAUAACAAAUGUAAAUCAUUUACAACUUUCAACAACGGAUCUCUUGGUUCUGGCAUCGAUGAAGAACGCAGCGAAAUGCGAUACGUAGUGUGAAUUGCAGAAUUCAGUGAAUCAUCGAAUCUUUGAACGCACAUUGCGCCCUUUGGUAUUCCAAAGGGCAUGCCUGUUCGAGCGUCAUUUGUACCCUCAAGCUUUGCUUGGUGUUGGGCGUUUUUGUCCCCCUCAAAAGGGACUCGCCUUAAAGUGAUUGGCAGCCGGCCUACUGGUUUCGCAGCGCAGCACAUUUUUGCGCUUGCAAUCAGCAAAAGAGGACGGCAAUCCAUCAAGACUCCUUCUCACGUUUGACCUCGGAUCAGGUAGGGAUACCCGCUGAACUUAAGCAUAUCAAAGGCGGGGAAGGAA